GUAGCUGGGUAGGUUUCAGUCCCUGAGAUCCUGAAUGGAAAAAAGAUGGUUUGAAAAGUGGAUGGAUGGAUGUUCAGAUGGGUGGUGAGUGAAUGUAAGUACGACAUGGUGGAGGUUUGAAACUUUGACACAAAGCAAAGGCUUCUGACUGACAAACCUGUCGAGCUUUAACAAUGUAAUGAACUCCAGGAAAAGUCUUCAUUUUUUCAAUCUACUUUAGCUCUUAACUAGCUAUGCUCUCAUUUCAGACUCUGUCAGACUCACCAGGAUGGACCUUUGCAACCAAAACUGAUGUGAAGCCUGGAUCCUCAACCCCCACCAUCCGUUCUUUGGCAACCAAUCAACCUGAUGUUGGUCAACAUAUCCCUCUCUCUCCUCACCCUUCCAUAGGCAUGGACCCUUCCCCAUCACCUCCCGUAAUGAUACAUCCAGAAGCCGCCUUUAUAAUUUUGAACAAUAAAACACAGCCCAGUCAAAAGCCGUCCCCCAUGUCUUUGCCAUCGGUAUUGAUGAGCAAAGAUCUUUCUUCCUUCUUCUCACCAAAACUACAGAAGACAACUCAUUCACAGAUUCUACCUGAUAUGGGGUUUGCCACCCUGAACUCAUUUUCUAUCAGCAAACAGAUCACUUCUUUCAUGAUAGAAGAGUCCAAAGCUCUGGACUCAAAUCUUCCAUCUAAAAGCUUUUGUAACGAUACUCAAUACUUGUCCCUCUCUGGUCCCUCUGCCUCUGAACCCCUUCCACCUCAGCCAUCAGCUGAAUACAGUCAACUUUCCUCUUCUGACACCGUGACACUGCAUCAAUCUGACUUCUUGGUGGGUCAGUGCCUCAUAAAGGGAGCUGAGAUACCUGCAUGCAAAAACACAAACCCUGGUUUAGUACUACAUCCAGCUCCCUCUGCCUCUCUGGGUUUACACCCCCCAUCUUCCUCAAUAACCUACAGCAGUUCACGCAGCAGUGAAACAAACGGUGAAGAUGCAACUUUUUCAGGUUCUGAGAAAGUUCCUGUAACAGAUGCUGAUCAUGAAUCAACUUUAUCUGAGUACUCUGAUAAUGAAGAUAGACUUCCUGCAAUCCUGCUUUCUCUUGAAGUCCCUUGUCAACUUGCUUUGUCAUGCAACUCACACAAUCAACAGGACACUCUGAUAGGUUCAGUUGAUGCAAGACUUUCAAAAAUAGCUAAACCAUCCCAACAACAAGAAGCAAAACCUCCUCAAAAUGACAUAACAAGCUUAGCUCCAGCCCCACAUAUCCAGAACUGUACUUUUUUGGACGUGGACAACAUUCUGCAAUGGAACAUGAACCAAGCGAUGGUAAAUGGGGACUCAGUUUACAUGUCAGACAUGGACAGCUCUGGAUACACAUCAAAAGAAGCUUUUGUCCAAACAGAAACUGACCAGAGGUCUACUAUUCACACCGUCAGUGAUGAUCAUUCAUCAUUAACCAAGCUGGAGCAACGCCAAGAGCUCCGUCAAUCAGGAGCUAUGAGCAAACAAAACAAGUUCAUCCGAUAUUUUGAUGCAUGUGAGCAGCAGGUAGGCCAUAAAACUGAGGUCCAACCCCACGGGCUCAUGGCUCAAUGCCUUGGUGGGGUGCAGGAAACUUCAGUGGACGUUUCAGAUGGUGAAAAUGAGGAUGCAGACUUUUUCCAACAACUUAAUGCUGAGAGCAAAGUCUAUUGGGCCGAACCCGCCCAGAUAACCAUUUCAGCAGAAGAGUUCAACACUUUUCAAGACUCUGAUGCCUUAGUUUCGUCUGAAGACACAGUUUCUCUUUCAAUACUGUCAUCCUCAACUGUAUCUGGACAUGAUGAAACAUCAGGACAGGGAGGUAUGCACUCAGAUCCAUAUUUGUCCAUGCCUAAAUCGCGCUCCUCCCUUUGUGCUGCCACAGAGAAGUCCUCCAAUCCCUCUGUUUCUGGUCAAACAGCCCCCUCUCUAUCAUCUCACAUUGUUCACAGGAAAGAUGUUCCUCUGUUGACUGAGUCAAAACACACCCAUUUUCCGAGUACUCUGACUCUUGACACCUCCACUCCUUUACGUGCUCUUCAGUCGUGGAAAAACCUACAAAGUCAGCGCAAUGCUCUCACCUGUAAACUACCCCAGAGGGAUCUCUAUGCGCUGUCAAGUGAUGAGAGCCAGACACCCACCAGAGGAUCACACAGACCCUCACCGGUUUUCUCUUCAACCACCUCUUUUCCAUUGCUCUGUACUGAUUUGACAUUACACAAUUCCACACCUGUCAUAUUAAGAAAUGAUGGGGCCACCGAAGAUAAAAACUCAAAAACUGCGGACUGGAUAAAGACUCCAGGGCCUGGAGCAGAUGAUGAUAAACAACAGGAGGAGCACAGGAAUGAAACCAAAAGUCAAGACAAACUGGAUAAGAAGGCCAACCUGCAGUGCUGCUGUUCCUGUCACCGACCUCAGAACUGCUGCAGCAGGCAAUACUUCCAUCCACAGCACGUUUCUUGCUCCAUUGAAGAGUGGGAAAAGACGAUGGAAGGACUGCAGCAGUUUCACUCUGUCUUCAAUACCGUGGAGAGGAGGUUCUCUGAGGAGCAAGCGGCAGUGUACAGCAUGCUCUCUGACGCUGAAAGGUGAACAGCGUUACCUCUGUCUCGCCUCAGCAUCCUCACCUGUAGCUCAGCACAGAUGGAGAUGAGGUUACCCAAAACGUAAAGUAAACGUCUGUUUACAAGCAAAGAAGUGCUCAUUGUGCACAGAUUCAUUCUGCUGUGGAGCCAUGUGUGAAACAUGAUGAGCUGGAAUAUCCAUCACCACAGAGAGUCAUUGAUCAGUGUGAAGGAAAUGAAAUCCCUUCAGGUUUAUCUAUUAGUAAAUAAGGUACAAUCUUUAGCCGUCAGUUUGCAGUUCAUUCACCUUGAUGGUCCUAGAUCUAUAAACCUGAUGCCCAGUGUGAUCACUAAUGGCAUAACUGGAGGAUUUGCCCAGAGUGAUGAGCCAUGGCUCGUGUCCAAAUUCCUUCACUACUCACUACAAAGUGCACUAUAUAAGGCGCCCGAAUCUACAAUUCCAAAAUCGAGAGCUCCUUUGAAAUUUCCCAGAAGUCUCUGCAAAAAAUCAGUGUGCAUCGAUUCUCACUAGAUUGGUGAAUAUAGACCACAAUGCAUCAUUUAAACAAUAUUUGUGAAAUAUUGUACUUUGAUUUUUUUUAUAUGAACAAUCCAAGUUUUGAUCAUCAAACCGCGGCCCUCAGGUCCUCUGGCAGACUGUUCCAUAGAUGAGGGCCGUGGUGCUGACAAGAUGCCUCUCCACAGGUUUGGUUUUUACAGGUUUAAUGGUUAACAGACCAGAGCCAGAGGAUCUGAGGUUCUGCGAGGGUUCAAAUUUGACUAAAAGAUCGGAUAAAUAAGAAGGCGCAAGACCGUUAAGGCAUUUAAAAACAGUAUCUUAAAAUCAAUCCUGAAGCAUAUGGGGAGCCAAUGCAGGGGUUAUCAAAUUGGGGUGAUGUGACCCCGCCUCCUGGCCUUGGUGAGAACUUGUGCAGCAGAAUUUUGGAGAAGCUGAAGGUUCUUAAUGUUAGUUUUUGGAAGACCAGCAAGCAGGGCGUUGGAUUAGGAGAAUCCAAUGAUCAGCAAUGGGAAUAGAUACACACCUUUAAUGUCACAGACAAUCCUGCCAGACACACCAACCUUCACUAGCUCCAUGGAUUGUUGGCGUGUCGCAUGGGAACAGUCCGGGCAUGAGGGGUCCGCUUUACUAAUCCCUAGUGUGGAAAAAGCGUGUCUGUCGAAUUCAAGGACCAUAUGAUCAGAUCCAUAUAUCCAAAAUGCAGAAGUUGCAGGAGAAUGAAAAGUGCAGAGGCUCUGGGGAAAACGGGACAAAAAGCCUUAGGAGUGGACUAGCACAGGAGGAGAGAGAAGAAAAGCAUCUGUUUUCAACAAGAACUGAGCAGAAAUGCAAUAUCAUUAUUGUGUGUGUGUGUGUGUGUGUGUGUGUGUGUGCGUGCGUGUGUGUGUGUGUGUGUGUGUCUGUGCGUGCGUGUGUGUGUGUGUGUGUGUGUGUGUG
RNAcentral lists this long non-coding RNA (4028 nucleotides) under Oryzias sinensis (Chinese medaka). RNAcentral describes it as "lncRNA (ENSOSIG00000007315.1)". The record is from RNAcentral. Lineage: Eukaryota; Metazoa; Chordata; Actinopteri; Beloniformes; Adrianichthyidae.